Rattus norvegicus (Norway rat) is the source of this 342-nucleotide non-coding RNA. NCBI's taxonomy places the organism in Eukaryota, Metazoa, Chordata, Mammalia, Rodentia, Muridae. The record is from RefSeq and is a predicted model, not a curated record.
UGCUAUGUCAUCAUGGAACUCUGUUAGGAAAUCCCACCAGGAGAUACGCUGCCCUGAACCUGGUCUUCUAUGUGGCUGGCCCUGAAAAUGUGCUUCCUCCUAGCUGUGUGUGAACUUCUUAGACACAGAGGGAAGCCAGUUUAGGCCCACAGUUCUCAGAACUCAGGGACCCAUCACAUCUACAGACACCAAACCCUGAAACUAUUGCUGAUGCCAAGAAACUCUUCCUGACAAGGAUCUGCUCCUGUCUCCAGGUUCCUGUCCUGUUUGAGUUCCUGUCCAGACUUCCUUCCAUGAUGAACAGAGAUGUGGAAGCAUAAACCAAAUAAACCCUCUCCUCCC